UCAGCCCCAGCCACAGGACUUCAGGUGCUGGAGCCUUCUGAAAGCUGUACACCAAAUACAACAGGAAACACAGUUGUUUCAUCAGCAAGCAUCACCUGAAGCCUGUUUGAGAGACCUCAGCUCCCCUCAGCCCUUGCAGACACCACAAAGAGGUCUUGGGUCUUGCCUAGAAGAAGGUAUCCAGCUUGAAUUCAAUUUUGUCCAAACAGAGGAUGGCAAAAUAUCAAGUGAUAAUGCACUGCUUCACUUGUUCUUUUGCAUUCAGGGGCCCAGGACAAACCAGCCUACAAGAGAUGUGUCACCUGUUUGGCUUCUACGUGGCUGCUCGUCUCUUCAGUGAUUUUAAUCACCAUUAGCUAGUAUCCCCGUCACCAUGCUGAGUCUCCGGCAGCAAAAGCACACAUAGCAGCUACACUGACAUCUGGUAUUAUAAAUACAGGCUCUGCACUGUUGGAUAAUCUGUUAACAGCAGAGUAAGUGACACUGGAAGAGCAAUUAGUAGUAACUACUAAGGCAUCAUGUUCAGGAGGAGAAUAAAGAUUUGUUUGGUAAGCCAUGUAACUA
This is a long non-coding RNA of Pezoporus occidentalis (night parrot), 564 nucleotides long. RefSeq lists it as uncharacterized. NCBI's taxonomy places the organism in Eukaryota, Metazoa, Chordata, Aves, Psittaciformes, Psittacidae. The transcript is spliced from 3 exons. The record is from RefSeq and is a predicted model, not a curated record.